This 1965-nucleotide long non-coding RNA is filed under the name Vulpes vulpes (red fox). RNAcentral describes it as "lncRNA (ENSVVUG00000001217.1)". Lineage: Eukaryota; Metazoa; Chordata; Mammalia; Carnivora; Canidae. The record is from RNAcentral.
CCGGGACCUGGAGCACAUGCGCACUUCUCCGCCUUUCCCGGCGGGUCCCGGACCUGGGGCGCAUGCGCACUGCUCCCCACCUGCCUGCGAGUCGAGAGCCGUGAUGCACUGAUGGUCUUCAGUGCUCUUCCAAGGACUUAGUAUUUUGGAUAAUGCUUUUUUUUAAAAUUAUUUUUCUUCGUGUGUAACUUCAGGAUGCAACAACGGGAUGCUAUUUUUAAAAAGCCUAAGGCCGGGUAACAAAGCAGCCCUGGGGUCACCGGGCGCCCGAAGUCAGGUGGAGCCGGGAGGCCCUGGCACAGCCUGCCGUGUGGCGCGGGGCGGCUGGGGACCCAGGCCUGCGGCGCAGAGCCCCGGGCCCCGUGCACCCUGCGGGAGCACUGCAGAAACCAGCAGGUGCACCGGGCAGGUGCGGAAGCCAGCAGGUGCACCGCGCAGGUGAGAAGCCAGCAGGUGCACCUGGCAGGUGCUGGAAGCCAGCUGGUGCACCGCGCAGGUGAGAAGCCAGCAGGUGCACUUGGCAGGUGCUGGAAGCUAGCAGGUGCACCGAGCAGGUGGGAAGCCAGCAGGUGCACCGGCAGGUGGGAAGCCAGCAGAUGCACCGGGCAGGUGGGGAAGCCAGCAGGUGCACAGGGCAGGUGGCAAGCCAGCAGGUGCACCGGGCAGGUGCGGCGUCGGGUCCGGGAGCAGGUGCGGCAAGCAGGGCAGCGCCUUGGGGCCGCCUGGAGGAGGCAGCCCGGAAACACCGGGGCGGCGUCGCCGGGCCUUUCCUCCGCCGCAGAUCCGCGCGGUUCUCCGCCCACGUCCCUUCCGGUGGGACCACCUUCCCAUCCGCCCCAUUCACAGAUGACCAUCAUGUCUUGCUGGGGUGGUUUCCCCGCGUCUGGUAACCCCCCCUCGCCCCGCAAACCCUGUGGAAUCCUUCUAAGAUGCACGUGUGAUCAUUACAGCAGGCCGUGGGUUCCCCUGACGCGGCCGCUCCAGUCCCCGCACACCAGGCUCCUCCCUGGGACCCCUCCCUACAGAAGCACCCUAAUGAGCAUCCUGGCGGGCGGCACCCUGCCCCCCGGCGUCCACCAGAGCCUCCGGCCACACUCCGUGCUCCCUGGGGGGCUCCGCCGCACCCUGCAGCUCUCUGCUUCCUCGGCUACCAGCAGUCCAGGCCUGGAGGUCAGAGGCCGCCAGCCGGGCCCCUCGCGGAGGCUCCAGGUGGGAAUCUGUCUCGUGGCCCUGAGUGGCCUCCAGAGGCGGCCUGGACUCCUGGGCCCGGCCCCGCCUCGUCUUCAGAGGCAGCCACGUGUCCCUGUCACCACUGAGAGCACGAGGCCACGUGGUGCCUCUUGGGCGGGCCGUCGCUCAGCCUGCGAGGGGGGUCAGCCCGCUGGAGCCUACUGGGUGCCUGGCGGAUCAUCACUAAUAACGUCGAUGUUUCUGUGCUGAGGAGACGAGGAGCCUUGGGAGAGACGUUGCAAACCCGAGAGAGACUCGGGAGCAAGGCUGCGGCCGCGGGGCAGCAGGCGGGGCGGUGCCCACAGAACCUCCCGCGGCCCUGCAGUCCGCUGUUUCCGCCCUGCUCCUUCGGGUGCCCACGUGCGGAGGGACCGCGGGCCACUCGACUUCAGCUGGCGGGGCCUGGCCACCUGUUCCAGAAAUCUCAUCUCUGACCUAUCAUGUGUCCCCAUAAUUCCCCCCUCCUUGGCUCAGCCUCCUUUGCAGAUCCAUGUUGGAUACAGCUUUGGGAUGAAGCAGCAAAUGAACUAGUGGAGGAGCAACUCUGGGGGAUCCCCGGGUGGCUCAGCGGUUUAGUGUCUGCCUUCGGCCCAGGGCGUGACCCCGGGGUCCCUGGAUUGAGUCCCACAUCGGGCUCCCUGCAUGGAGCCUGCUUCUCCCUCUGCCUGUGUCUCUGCCUCUCUCUCUGUGUCUUUCAUGAAUAAAUAAAUAAAAUGUUUUUUAAAAAAAAAGAGC